GACGAACGUUGGCGGCGUGCUUAACACAUGCAAGUCGAACGGAAAGGCCCUGCUUUUGUGGGGUGCUCGAGUGGCGAACGAGUGAGUAACACGUGAGUAACCUGCCCUUGACUUUGGGAUAACUUCAGGAAACUGGGGCUAAUACCGGAUAGGAGCUCCUGCUGCAUGGUGGGGGUUGGAAAGUUUCGGCGGUUGGGGAUGGACUCGCGGCUUAUCAGCUUGUUGGUGGGGUAGUGGCUUACCAAGGCUUUGACGGGUAGCCGGCCUGAGAGGGUGACCGGCCACAUUGGGACUGAGAUACGGCCCAGACUCCUACGGGAGGCAGCAGUGGGGAAUAUUGCACAAUGGGCGGAAGCCUGAUGCAGCAACGCCGCGUGCGGGAUGACGGCCUUCGGGUUGUAAACCGCUUUCGCCUGUGACGAAGCGUGAGUGACGGUAAUGGGUAAAGAAGCACCGGCUAACUACGUGCCAGCAGCCGCGGUGAUACGUAGGGUGCGAGCGUUGUCCGGAUUUAUUGGGCGUAAAGGGCUCGUAGGUGGUUGAUCGCGUCGGAAGUGUAAUCUUGGGGCUUAACCCUGAGCGUGCUUUCGAUACGGGUUGACUUGAGGAAGGUAGGGGAGAAUGGAAUUCCUGGUGGAGCGGUGGAAUGCGCAGAUAUCAGGAGGAACACCAGUGGCGAAGGCGGUUCUCUGGGCCUUUCCUGACGCUGAGGAGCGAAAGCGUGGGGAGCGAACAGGCUUAGAUACCCUGGUAGUCCACGCUGUAAACGGUGGGUACUAGGUGUGGGGUCCAUUCCACGGGUUCCGUGCCGUAGCUAACGCUUUAAGUACCCCGCCUGGGGAGUACGGCCGCAAGGCUAAAACUCAAAGGAAUUGACGGGGCCCCGCACAAGCGGCGGAGCAUGCGGAUUAAUUCGAUGCAACGCGUAGAACCUUACCUGGGUUUGACAUGGAUCGGGAGUGCUCAGAGAUGGGUGUGCCUCUUUUGGGGUCGGUUCACAGGUGGUGCAUGGCUGUCGUCAGCUCGUGUCGUGAGAUGUUGGGUUAAGUCCCGCAACGAGCGCAACCCUUGUUCACUGUUGCCAGCACGUUAUGGUGGGGACUCAGUGGAGACCGCCGGGGUCAACUCGGAGGAAGGUGGGGAUGACGUCAAGUCAUCAUGCCCCUUAUGUCCAGGGCUUCACGCAUGCUACAAUGGCUGGUACAGAGAGUGGCGAGCCUGUGAGGGUGAGCGAAUCUCGGAAAGCCGGUCUCAGUUCGGAUUGGGGUCUGCAACUCGACCUCAUGAAGUCGGAGUCGCUAGUAAUCGCAGAUCAGCAACGCUGCGGUGAAUACGUUCCCGGGGCU
Molecule: ribosomal RNA, 1346 nt
Filed under: uncultured bacterium
Lineage: Bacteria
Description: partial 16S ribosomal RNA
Rfam family: Bacterial small subunit ribosomal RNA
Source: RNAcentral